CCGACGGUGAGGGGUGAAGGCUGGGGGCGCAAACCGGAUUAGAUACCCGGGUAGUCCCAGCAGUAAACGAUGCCAGCUAUGUGUUGCUGGAACCAUGGGUUCCAGCAGUGCCGAAGGGAAGCCGUGAAGCUGGCCACCUGGGAAGUACGGUCGCAAGGCUGAAACUUAAAGGAAUUGGCGGGGGAGUACCACAACCGGUGGAGCCUGCGGUUUAAUUGGAUACAACGCCGGGAAUCUUACCGGAGGGGACAGCAGUAUGAAGGCCAGGCUAAAGACCUUGCCAGAUCAGCUGAGAGGAGGUGCAUAGCCGUCGCCAGCUCGUACCGUGAGGCAUCCUGUUUAGUCAGGCAACGAUCGAGACCCGCAGUCUUAUUUGCCAGCAUGCCCUUUGGGGUGUAUGGGUACAAUAAGACGACCGCCAGCGCUAAGCUGGAGGAAGGAGCGGGCUACGGUAGGUCAGCAUGCCCCGAAUCCUCCGGGAUACACGCGGGCUACAAUGGUCAGGACAAAAGGUACCGACCUCGAAAGAGUGAGGUAAUCCACAAACCUGAUCUCAGUCCGGAUCGAAGGCUGCAACUCGCCUUCGUGAAGAUGGAAUCGGUAGUAAUCGUGACUCAAAAUGUCACGGUGAAUAUGUCCCUGCUCCUUGCACACAC
RNAcentral lists this ribosomal RNA (656 nucleotides) under uncultured archaeon. RNAcentral describes it as "bacterial SSU rRNA". It matches the Rfam family "Archaeal small subunit ribosomal RNA", at positions 691 to 1346 of the family's 1478-position model. The record is from RNAcentral.